RNAcentral lists this ribosomal RNA (377 nucleotides) under uncultured eukaryote. RNAcentral's name for it is "partial 18S ribosomal RNA". It matches the Rfam family "Eukaryotic small subunit ribosomal RNA", at positions 592 to 976 of the family's 1831-position model. The record is from RNAcentral.
CAAUAGCGUAUAUUUAAGUUGCUGCAGUUAAAAAGCUCGUAGUUGGAUUUCGGGUGGGAAUGGCCGGUCCGCCGUUUCGGUGUGCACUUGCUACGCCCACCUUGCUGCCGGGGACGUGCUCUUGAGUUCACGCUCGGGACACGGAGUCGGCGAGGUUACUUUGAGUAAAUUAGAGUGUUCAAAGCAGGCCUACGCUCUGAAUACAUUAGCAUGGAAUAACACGAUAGGACUCUGGCCUAUCUUGUUGGUCUGUAGGACCGGAGUAAUGAUUAAGAGGGACAGUCGGGGGCAUUUGUAUUUCAUUGUCAGAGGUGAAAUUCUUGGAUUUAUGAAAGACGAACUACUGCGAAAGCAUUUGUCAAGGAUGUUUUCAUUGA